UACUAACCUCCCAUCUCAUAAAAUCUGAUACUCUAAUUGUUAAUAUUAUAUUUGAUGUUUCUUAGCUUUUCAAUUUAUCUGUUAUUACUUUAAAUUGGAAUUCCCUAAUCAGUUCAUUUGAUUUAUUUUAUUUUUCACAAUUUAUUUCUCCGGAAAAAUCGAAUGUGGCAUCGAUUUGUUAUCUAACCCGUUGAUGGUGUUGAGAUUGUUGUGUCUAGUCUGUUCUUUGGCUGGAAUAUUUCGACUCAACCGGGUUUCUCGUGCAGCUAGCGAUGGUGGUGUUGGGUUUCUAGGAAAUGGACUGGUCGUGAUCCGAUUAUCACACAAAAUCACAUCGAUUAUUGCUUCUCUCUCUCUCUAUUUGAUUGCAAUAGAAUAUAUAUUUUUUAAUAUUUUGCUCUGUAUGAUCAUAUAUAUGCCAGGAAAAAAAAAAAAUCAAAUACGCAAAAUUAGAUUUUGGAUCUGUUGUAGAUUUUUCCUAUUUUAAGAAAAAAAUGUUUCCUUUUGUUCCUAUUUGAAUUGUUCCUUCACUUUGUAGGUUGAAGGGGAUGGGUAUUCUCUUUAUUAAAAAAGAGGAAAAAGGGGUCCUAUGAUGGAGGAUCGAUAUUCAGCCCUUGUCGAUGUUCAAGGAGAUUCCAAAUAGAAACAUCUUGGAUUGAUAAAAGCUUGUCCCAUCUAAGAAGAGAAAUAUCAAGAUAUAGUGGAAUAGUAAAACCAUCAAGGGUAUAAGAGGCCAUUAUGGGAGGAUAUCUAAAUUAUGAUGAUGUUUACAAGGAGGUGAACCCCAAAAGGUGACUACCGGGAAGGUGUUACAAGGUUCAAUGCUUAGACCAAACACAACUCUUGAGAGCAGUCGAUUUAAUGAUACAUGAUCAAAGAAAGUUUAAAACCUUCUGUGACCUACUUGAUGAUUUAAAGAAACUAGGGAUUUUGAUGCAUUUGAAUUAAUGAGUAGUCUGUAGUUGUAGUUAUUUGUAACUUUAUCUUUGUAAUAGAGGCUUUGGCUCUUUGACAAGCUUUGCUCUUUGUUGUGGACCAUUAGUUUCAAAAGGUUACCUUUGAAUGCGAUGCAUUGUCAGUGA
This is a long non-coding RNA of Cornus florida, 1082 nucleotides long. RefSeq lists it as uncharacterized. The transcript is spliced from 3 exons. NCBI's taxonomy places the organism in Eukaryota, Viridiplantae, Streptophyta, Magnoliopsida, Cornales, Cornaceae. The record is from RefSeq and is a predicted model, not a curated record.